GCACUCUUGGUUUAGUGGUAAAAUCAGCGCUUCCCAUGCGCUGGCCCCGAGUUCGAUUCCCGGAGGGUGCA
Molecule: transfer RNA, 71 nt
Filed under: Blumeria hordei DH14
Lineage: Eukaryota; Fungi; Ascomycota; Leotiomycetes; Helotiales; Erysiphaceae
Description: tRNA-Gly (CCC) (tRNA-Gly-CCC-3-1)
Rfam family: tRNA
About the family: Transfer RNA (tRNA) molecules are approximately 80 nucleotides in length. Their secondary structure includes four short double-helical elements and three loops (D, anti-codon, and T loops).
Source: RNAcentral